AUUCAAGGAAAAAGCAAAACCAGCAACCCCCAUAGAUACGUGUUUGUCUUUUCGGUCAUUUGGGGAACGAACAAACAGCUGUAAAGUAACAAACAAUAAACAGCAAGGAUAAGAAAACAAAAGCCGAAGAAAAGAAGAAAAACUGCCUCGGUGCAGAGGAAAACGAUUCAUCAGCAGAAGGUGACCUUCCAUCUUCUCCUCCAAAUAGAAACCAUCCAAACCCGAAACUCUGAUCGUCUUCUAGUCUAGAGGUCGCAAGCAAUCGUCGAUCAAGUCCCUUCAGGAAGCUGCAAUGACCAUCGAUCUUUGUCAACCAUCUCAGCUGCUUUAUGAGGUACUUCAACCCAGAAUUGAGAGUUGCCCAGCUUAAAACCAUUUUUAGCAAUUGUAUGAGCAACAAUAUUUGAAUCUCGAUCAACAUGUUGAAAGAAAAUAGAAAUAAAGUUAAAGGCCAUCGUUCUAAUAUCUUCAAUAAAAAUUCCAAUCACAGAUCUAUCCGUGACCCCUCUACGAGCCUUCGUUAUAGUCAUUCUAGAGUCCCCCUCAACCACCUCCUGUGAGAACCCCAUUUCCUUAACAAAGGUUAAGGAUUGAAGACAUGCCAAAGCCUCAACCGAGAAAGCAUCUGCAACGUUACUAUUCAGAAUCGACCCAUUUCCCAUAACCAACCCUAAAUUAUUUCUGAUGACGAAACCUGAGCAAGACUGAUGUAGAUUUUGUUUAAACGCUGCAUCAAAAUUAAUCUUUACAACUGCUCUUUCAGGGGGCAACCACUUGACAACAUUGAUCUCUACUUUUCAGGUCCACACUUCAGAAUGGCAUGCAUGGCUGAUUCUGGAAACAAGCCACACCUUGGACAUAAAGGAUAAAGCGCAAUUCACCUAUUGUAUAGGAUAUAUGCAGUAGGGAUCAUAUUAUGUAUUAGUCUUCAAAUAGUGAUUUUAAUUUUAGAAGGUAUGUCUAGGAGCCAUAAUUUUUUUGUAAACUGCACUAUAAUCUUAGGAGCUUUCCUCUGUAUUUUGAUGGUCGAUGGUCGAUGAGGGUCCUGUAGCCACUACGGAUAGAAUACUCGCCGGAGCUGUCACCCCUCAUACAAUCAUGUCUUCUUCAACCGAGUGGGAUAAAGGGGUGCACUUGAUGGCCUUAGCUUCCUCCAAAGUAAACACACUAGUAAUGACUUCCUCUUUCCAGCUUUUUGAGUUGUGAUCUAUAGAAACUGAAUUAUUAACCACCGUGUUACGAAAUUUUUCCUCGCCCAUGUAGGAAGCCAACUAUCUCUCCAUAUCGAGAUAUUUGUACUCGAACCCACUCUCCAACCCAUACCAUCUUCCAAAACCUUUCUAGCUGCAAAAAUACUACGCCAUACAUACGAUGGGUUUGUUCCCAAAUGAGCAUUCCAAAAGCUUGUAUGCGGGAAAUAUUUAGCUUUAAAAAUACUGACAGCUAAUGAAUCUGGCUUAACUAUAAAUCUUCAACCCUGCUUUGCCAAAAAGGGUAAUAUUUAAUUUACAGAGGUCAUGAAAACUCAUUCCCCCUUGAUCCUUAGGUUUACUUAAUUCAAACCAACUACACCAAUGCAUACUCUUACGAGUAGCACUUUUCUGCCACCAAAACCUAUUCAUAAUUCUUUCUAACUCAUGACAAAGAGUUUUGGGAAGUAAAAAGCAGGACAUAGAAUAGGUAGGAAAAGCUUAUAAUAUUGACUUAAUAUAGAACUCUUUCCCUCAUUGAGAUUAGGGGUGUGCAUUUGGUUAACCGACCCGAAACAGUUAUAACCGAAUUAACUGGCCUUUCAAAAUUUUUAACCGUUAACCGAACCGAAAUUUUUUCAAAAAAAAUUAACCGAACCGAAAUUUUUUCGGUUAAUUAGGUCGGUUAAUCAAAUUAACCGAAAAUUGUAUGAUUUUUAUUUUUGGUUAAAAAUUAACCGAAUUAACCGAAUUACUCAAAUUACCUGAAUUGAAUCACUACAUAAUUAAAAAUAUUACAUAAGUAUUUGAAUCACUACAUAAUUAAAAACAUUACGUAAUUCUUGAAAUUAACACAUAGUUGAAAUGUAAGUCUUUAAUAUUCUCCAUUUAUAUCCAUUUAUUCUCUCCAAAAAAUCUUCAUUUGCAUUAAAUCUAAAAAAAAAACAUGUGUAAUUGGGUAGAUACUUAAGAGUUACACCAUGUUUGGUUGGGUGUAAUGGAUUAGCCAUUACACCCCUAUUUCGUGAGACCCACUUAAUCCCAUGUUUGGUUGGAUGUAUUGCCCUAAUAUAGGCCUAUUACAUUACGGACGCAAUCCUCAUUUUCUCUGCUUCAACGCCGAUUUCUAAUCCCUUCCAAAAGCAAGAAUUAGCUAAUCGGUCUCUGUUUUACCUUUCCCAGCAGAAAUCGAUCUCUACCCCACCCUCUCCCUCUCCCUCUCCCUCUCCCUCCCAACAUCAACAGAAGUUGCCACCGAACCAAACCUCCACCCGCUCAGAUCUUUCGCAGACUUUCAUCUUGGCAUCUUGGCAUCUUUCGCCAACAUCAACAGAAGCGGCAAGUGCUUCAUAUAAUGAUAAAGCCAGACACACAGACUCCAAUUGAGGAGACUAUGAGGGCAAUGAAUUAUGUGAUUGAUAAGGGUGGGCAUUUUAUUGGGGGACAAGUGAGUGGUCUGCACAACAGAUUACGGAAGCAUGGGGAGUAGCUGAGAGGUUGGAGUCCGCUUGCUUCUGGAGUGCUUACUGGAAAAUACAACAAAGGAAAUAUACCACCUAACAGUCGGUUUGCUUUGGAAAAUUUCAAAAAUCUUGCUAACCGAUCACUAAUUGAUGAUAUGUUGAGGAAAGUUAAUGGACUGAAGCCAAUUGUUGAUGAACUUGGUAUACCAUUAGCUCAACUUGCAAUCGUAUGGUGUGCUGCAAAUCCUAACGUAUCUUCGGUUAUUACUGCUGCUACAAAGGAAUCUCAGAUUCAAGAGAACACACUACACCAAAACAGGUCUUUAGCGGCAGUCUUAGCGGCGUUUAAACAAAAAACGCCGCAAAAAAUAGAGUUUUAGCGGUGUCCAGAGACAAACGCCGCAAUAAAUGAUUAUUAGUGGCGCAAGAAAUAGGAACGCCGUAAUUGACCUGCAAUAGCGGCGUUUUUACCUCAACGCCACAAAACUUGUUUGCAAAACGGCUCCGUUUUUUGGUUACUUUAUGACUUUAGUGGCGCUUCCACAAAAACGCAGCAAACAAUUGGAAUAUAGCAGCGUUUUCUUAGAAACGCCUGUAAAGAUAACGAAUUUGAGGAAAAAAUCUGAGCAAAACAGUACCGUUUUGUUUUUUCAUUUUAUUUCUUUAGCAGCGCAUUGUAAAAAACGCCGGAAAAGAUUGAAUUAGCGGCGUUUUCAGGGAAACGCCGGUAAAUAUAACUAAUUUGAGGAAAAAAUUUGGACAAAACGCUACCGUUUUAUUGCUUCAUUUUAUUUCUUUAGUGGCGCAUUGUAAAAGACGCCGCAAAUAUUGGGAUAUAGUGGCGUUAUUGGAGAAACGCCGGUAAAGAUAUCUAAUUUGAGGAAAAAUUUUGAGCAAAACGGUACCGUUUUGUUGUUUCCUUUUUAUGCUUUAGUGGCGAAAUGUUAAAAAACGCCGGAAACGGUUCGGAUGUAGCGGCGCAUAUUAAGAAACGCCAGAACUAGACUAAGUAAAAUGGCUUCGUUUUAUUUCA
This is a long non-coding RNA of Gossypium raimondii (Peruvian cotton), 3686 nucleotides long. RefSeq lists it as uncharacterized. The transcript has 5 exons. NCBI's taxonomy places the organism in Eukaryota, Viridiplantae, Streptophyta, Magnoliopsida, Malvales, Malvaceae. The record is from RefSeq and is a predicted model, not a curated record.